Ahaetulla prasina is the source of this 8951-nucleotide long non-coding RNA. RefSeq lists it as uncharacterized. Lineage: Eukaryota; Metazoa; Chordata; Lepidosauria; Squamata; Colubridae. The transcript has 5 exons. The record is from RefSeq and is a predicted model, not a curated record.
AACUCGGGCACUCGCAGUAGAUUUUCUGGGGGUGUAAAGAAGGUGCAAAAUCAAAAGCCACCUCGGUUCAGUGUGCCUGCGCACCCGGAGUGGAAUAUAACAAUAAUUUAUGUUGGAGACCCCUGUUGUAGUUGAUGGCAUCCCCCCCUCCUCCAAAGAGGCAGCUUUCGAAUGGCGACUCUCAGUAUUCCUGGAAGUUGUGGCAGUUGUCAUCCGAUACCUCUGGACUGGAGGCAAAUCGUCUUAAAAAAGGCAAAACCCAGGAAAGGACAAAAAUAAGAAACCUUGCUGUGCUUUUCCCUGCCCCUUUUUUCCCCUCCCAACUGCUCUGUUGUUGAACAGGUGCCAGAGCAGCUGGAAUUGAGCCAUGGGCAUUUUAGCACACAUUUGAAAGGAUAUAGGCAAAUGAGGUAUGGUGGUUAAAAAUUAAAUCUGGGAGUGAGGUCGAGUCCAUUAGCCAUAAGAGGUGAGUUUAUGGUUGAGCUGGAAGAAAAACAGGAUAUAAAUCUGAGGUGGGGGGAGGGAAUGAUAGUUCUUCCUGUUGGCUCUAUAUCAGGUAUUUGCAGCCCAAGAAGGUUUUUAAUUCAUUGUUUGAUCUGUGCAGGCUGCUCUAGAAGAUUGAGCAAGGAGCAGUGUCAGUUUUGCUACCUGACCUCUGAAAAGUGUUUGCUUCAAGAAUGUGAUGCAGCCAAAUAUUGUCAUCUCUGACUCUAACAUUUGCAUAUUUAUGUUUACUAACUCAAAGCUUUCACAUAAUCAUUCUAGAGGUAAGUGCAUUGCUCCAGUUGGAUGUCAGUCUUUUAGAAUCAUAGGGCUGGAAGGGACCUUGGAGGAUUGCUAGUCCAAUCCCCGUACAAAACAGGGGUCCUUAUUCCAUCCUGGGCAACUGGUUGUCCAAUCUUUUCUUGAAAACCUCCAGCGAUGAAGCACCUAAAAUUUAUGGAGGCAAGCAGUAAUUGUUCUCACUGCCAUGAAGUUUCUCCUUUGGUUCCGUGUUGGUUCUUCCUGUGACUGGCUUCCACCCAUUAGUUCUUGUCCUGUCCUCCAAUACUUCGGAGAUUAAAUCAACCCCCUCCUCCCUGCAUGACAGCCUUUCAAGUAUUGAAAGACAGCUAUCAUGGCCCUUCUAAGCCUCUUCUUUGUUAGGAUAAACAUACUAAUUUCCUUAGACAUUCACCAUAUAGAUUAAUUUACAGACCCCUUCCUUAUUUUUCUCUGCAUUCUUUCUAGGGUCUCAAAAUCUGGUGACCAGAACUGGAUGCAAUAUUCCAAGUCUGGCUUCACUAGUGAAAUAUAGAGCAGUACUAUCCCUUCUCAUGAUCUUGAUGUUAUCCCUCUGUUGAUGCAGUCUAGGAUUAUGCUGACUUUUUUUGGCAGCUGCAGCACAGUGUUGGCUCAUACUUAAGUGGUAGUCCACCAGGACACUUAGAUCUCACAUACGUAUUACUAUUGACCUAAAAAAAGGUAAAGGUUCCCCUCUCACAUACGUGCUAGUCGUUCCCGACUCUAGGGCUAGGUGCUCAUGUCCGUUUCAAAGCUGAAGAGCCAGCACUGUCAAAAGAUGUCUCCAUGGUCAUGUGGCUGGCAUGACUAAACACCAAAGGCACAUGGAACACUGUUACCUUCCCACCAAAGGUGGUUCUUAUUUUUCUACUUGCAUUUUUUGAAUUGCACCUUAUUUAAUAGGGCCUAGAGCUCAAGUUGUCAAGAUCCUUCUGAAUCAUGAGUCUAUUUUCCAAGUGUUAGCAAUUCCUCCCAGUUUGGUGACAUCUGUAAAUUUAAAUGCCCCUUCAGUCCCCCUCGUCUAGGUCAUUUAGGAAGAUGUUGAAGAGCUCUAGGCCCAAGAAAACCUUGAGAUAUUCUUUUGCAUGCUUCCCUUCAUGUAGAUGUAGUUCCACUGAGGAUCAUACACUGAGUGAGUUCAGUUGGUCAACCAAGUACAAAUCCAUCUCGUGUUGGUACUAUGCAUUUCAUUGUUCUAUUUUAGGAAGAAAUAGGCUGUGGUCUACUUUAUCGAAUGCCAUAUUGAAGCCUAAGUAUACUACAUCCACAGCAUUUCCUUGGUCUACUAAUUUAGUCACUUUAUCAAAGAAGGAAAAUAAAGAUUCUUUUUCCAAUGCUGCUGGUUGCUAUUUCUUAUUGCAAUUUAGCUGACAGCAGGAAUAUGGCAAACAUCUCAGAUGGGACCCUUCCUAAUUUUUUGGACAAAGGGUGAAGGAUGAGAGAUGUACUUUCAGACUUGACAGAUUCUGCUAUUUUAUUUAUUUAUUUUUAUUUAUUUUGUCACACAGUAUAUAUAAGCAUAAGCAUGAAAUAAUUAUACAAUAUAUAAGCAUAUAUAUGAGUAUGAGUAUGUAAUAACUAUAUUAAUUGGAUAUAACGAAAGGAAACAAUAGGACAGGAAUGGUAGGCACGUUUGUGCUCUUAUGCACGCCCCUUACAGACCUCUUAGGAAUGGGGUGAGGUCAAUGGUAGAUAGUUUUGGUUGAAGCUUUGGGGAUUUUGGGAAGAGACCACAGAGUCAGGUAGUGUAUUCCAAGCAUUAACAAUUCUGUUACUGAAGUCAUAUUUUCUGCAAUCAAGAUUGGAGCGAUUAACAUUAAGCUUAAAUCUAUUGUGUGCUCGUGUAUUGUUGCGAUUGAAGCUGAAGUAGUCUUUGACAGGAAGGACAUUGUAGCAGAUGAUUCUAUGAGUUAAACUCAGGUCAUGUCGAAGGCAGCGUAGUUCUAAAUUUUCUAAACCCAGGAUUUCAAGUCUGGUGGCAAAAGGUAUUUUGUUGUAUUCAGAGGACUGGAGAACUCUUCUUGUAAAAUAUAUCUUUAUUAAAGUUGCUAAUGCAACUUUACAAUAAAGAUACAGUCAUCUGGGUGUGCUUCCUGUCUGCACUACUUCACUAGGCUGGGACCGGUGUAGCGAGUCUGAAAGUAAAUUUCUUCCCUAUCAUCAGGCAAGAGGAAACUCCCAUUGAGAGGUUCUGUUUUUAUCUCCUGGGGUUGGGAGAAAAUUGGUUAUUCUUUCCUUGGGAGAUGCUGUCUUUUAGGUUUGGCUUUUGGUUUUUUAUUGUUUUAUGUGUUUCUGCAGUGCCUUCAAGUCAGCAUUGACUCCUGGUAACUUCGUGGACUGGUCAUUAGCAGAGUAAUUUUGUAUAUCCAGGUCGCAAGCUUCAUAAUAGUUGUGAAUUUUGAAUAUUGCUUUGAAACUUUGGGGUGAUUUUCCGGCACUAGUGUGUACCAAUACUAAAUACAGUAUUACAAAUCUCUAUCUGAAGCUAUCCUGGAAGCUAAGUAUGCCUCUGGGGCUUUUCUUAUUGGUUAUGGGGGGAAUGUUGCCUGCAUUGGAAGUAUUUCUCCUUUCUAUAUGCUACCAGAGUAGUGUCCCAUGAAAAUAGAUGAUGGUUCUCUUGGAAAUUAUAACUGUACUUUUGUAAAUGUGUCAUAGUCAAUCAUUUGUAUGUGUGGUAAAGUCAUGGUCAGUUUCCAGUUACAAACAAUGAGAUGCGAUCAUGCUUCCUACUUCCUGCAAAUUGUAGUAUUGUAAAUGAAGAAGGGAAGUAAAAAAAAAAAGAAGAAAAUUCAGAAUCAGGCAAAGAUAACCAAUGUCGUACAGUUGCCAAAAAACCCCAACAUUGAUAUUUCCAUUUCAUCACUAUAAGCUGAGCGAAAAGAGUUUCUUCCUAAUUUUCUUGUCUGAAUUAUAAUAAUAUAAAUACUACUUUUUAUUAAUAACUUAUAUAUUUGAAAGAGAAAUACAACUUUAAGAGUGAAAGACUAGCACUGCAACCUGUCCUAAUUCACUCUUCAGAAAUGUUGAUUGCUGAUAUUUUAACAAAGGAAGCGAUAACUUCAAUUAUUCCAAAUUUCAAUUUCAGUCAAGUAAUAUGAAAAACAAAGGAAGGGGGAUUUCAUCUGUAGCUCCUCAAAUCUCUUUUUAGAUUAUUAUCCUGGAGGAAGAAAAUCUAGUAUGCUAAAGACAGUGUUUUGCAACUUGCAUGUUAAACUGUUUCAUCAAAAUUAAAAUCUGUAGUAAAACAUACACGCACUAAAAUCAUAUUCAAGAUAUGCUACUUGUGUUGAUAAGAUUAUAAUUGAUUAUUAUGUUCCCCAAAUUCGUUAUAUUUUGACUUUAUAGUUCCUUUGCACUUUUUUUCUCAUUAAUGUUUGCUUUAACUAUAAAAUAUCUGGAUUUGGAGCUCCUUCUUGUGGUCAUAUGUCGUUACAGCACAUAGCUUUCUUAAACAUGCAGAAAGUGCUUCAUCUUAAAGUUAGUUAAUUAGAAAAUCAAUUCAAUAAAAUUACUCUAUUAGGCACUGACUGCUGCAGAAACUAGUUCUCUUCAGCAAUUUAAAUUGGUAAGUUCAAUAGCUAAUUUGAACUCAAAUUCUUGAAAACAGAUUACUUGUUUUUCUUUGCAGUCCUGAUCUAUUGCAAUGAGAAAAUAUUUGGAAAUGUGUUCUAUAUCAGUGUAAGGUUUAGUCAUCACAGUUUUAAACUACCUGAUAAACAAUAUGUAGACAAUUCAAAUCAGAAUUAGUUAUACAUGUUCUCUUUUUAAAGGCAAUUAUGUGAAUAAUCUUAUAGAAUGAUUAACAGCUUUUCCUGAAAGACUAUAAGGAAGAUGGUUUAUGACAAGGGCUAAGGACAAACCAUACUCUGGUGGAUUCAUAAAUAUGCUAAUAUAGUUUAACUAUGGUUUGUUGAAUAAGUCACAAUUGAGUUCACCUUAAGUCAUAAAUAAUGUUUUACAAAUUAUAGUGGUUAGCCUCAUGUAACAUGCUAAUUUUAUUUAUUUUUUAGUUUUAAUAUUUUAUUGUAAGCCUUUGAGCUACUUUAGUAUAUGGAAAAAUGAUGUAUUUAAUAAAUAAAGUGAAACCAUGUUGUGGUUUAGUGUAACCUGUAAUCCCAUUUUCUUCUGCCUUUUAGAAACACCUGCAACCUCCCCUGUCUUAUACAGUACCUACUACACUUCCGUUCACUCCUUAUGUUAAAUCACAGUAUUUUGUUCUAGCAGAAGAUGCAAAUAGACUGUCUUCUUUCUUCCAGCAAGCUGAACUGAAAAACAGAUAAACAGACACUCAAAGAAUAUAGCCAAAAAUAUUGACUACUGCCAACUAAUGAAGUUCUAGAAAAAAAUAUGAAUUUAUUGAUUCCCUCCUAUGGACAUGAAUCAAAACUAAUGUCUUGCUUAAUGGAAGUACUUCUGGUUGCAGGGUUCAAACUGCCACUGAAAGAGAUAGUUUUGAAGGAGGAAAAGGAAAAAAGAAUAGAGGAGACCAGAUAUGAAAUUGUAGAUUACUUUUCUGCCAUAUUUCAAAGAAUAAUUACUAUCAUGGUGAUUUUGAAAAUAUGGAAUAUUCUAUAAAUAUUGAAAUACAAUUUUCAUAAAUUGACUCUGCAUGAUAAAGCAUUGUAAUCUAAAUCCAGUUAUAAUCAUUGAAAUUGAGCACUGCUUUCCCCAUUGUAGUAAUACAUUAUUUUCAUUCACCCAGUCUAGCAUUCUGCUUUCCAUAAUGAUAAAUUCUUGAUUGUUUUUUUGGGAAAACAAACAAGUGAAACAGGUAAAGCCAUGCAACACCUAGCAAUUUGAUGACAUCGUUGUUCUAAAAACAAAACAGAACCAAAACAAAGCCUAAGUUGUUUGAAAGGUAUUAAUUUUAUAGCCUGAAGAAAUAGAGGUAUUUCACUCUGCUUGUCAUUCAGCUAUUUUGUAGAAUGGCAGAACUUUAAUCUGCAGCUAGCAAAAUAGGUCUGAUGCUGAAACCUUUAGUAAUAACAGCUGUGCAACAAUUUGUGUUGAAAGAUUAAAAAGGUGCUGUGAAGCUUGCAAAAGGCCAGACAUGGCAUCUGUAAGCAACCGGGUAAAGCCAACAUACCUUUUCUUAGUAUUGUGUUGCAGUUAUGGAGGGGGGGCAGCUGUGCAAUCGCAGAAUAAAAUAGAAAUUCUUUAGGCUGCAGGUAGAGAUUGCCUUUCUUCACUCUGAAGUACCAUUUUGCUUUUGUAUCCAAAAUGCUGCAAAAUUUGAUUUUUAAUUCAUGGUAAAAUACUUAUGAGUUGUCUGUCUCUAGUGAUUGUACUUUUGUAGAAGACUUUUAGAUGUUUGAGGUGUUCAGUGGUGGGUUUCAAUUUUUUUUACUACCGGUUCUGUGGGUGUGGCUUGGUGGGCGUGGCAGGGCAAGGAUACUGUAAAAUCUCCAUUCCCACCCCACUCCAGGGGAAGGUUACUGCAAAAUCCCCUUUUCCUCCCGAUCAGCUGGGACUUCGGAGGCAGAGAAAAGAUGGGAGCAGGGCCAGUCAGAUUUUUUACUACAGGUUCUCUGAGCUACUCAAAAUUUCCACUACUGGUUCUCCAGAACUGGUCAGAAUCUGCUGAAACCCACCUCUGGAGGUGUUGUCUCUUACAUCUUUCUAGGAAUGCAAAAAAUAGCUGCCUGCUGAAUCAGGUACUUGUAUUCAUUAUGAACUACUAGAGUCAUCAGACAGGAGUUUUGCCAAUGCUUCCUGUAGCUGAUGGAGACUGGAUAUGUGAUCUUCUUCCUCUAACACAUGUGCACAGAGCUGUAGCCUUUAUGAAAGGCCAUUAUGCAGUAAUCUUAAUUUUUUCCAUGUAGCCUUUUUUAAAACAAAAAGCUCUGUAAUUCAGAAGCUUGCCUUUGUAGUGCUCACAAUUUCCUGUACCUCUGCAACACCAAGGUUUAUGUCACCCUUAUGACAAAUUGUCUUUAUUCUAGCAGUCUGUUUAUGCAAGCACUGUCCCAGCUGUAUCUAUAAAAGGGACAGACAUCAUUAGACAUCCACUACUAUUGAAUUAAUUCAUAUGGAUGGGUUAGCUCAAUAGCGACCUACAAACCUUUGACCUAUUGCAGCAAAGAAGGUUACAUGCAGCAGCAAACCUUCUUACAAGCAGCCCAUUUGGAAACAGAAAUGCAUCCAUGUUCAUAUUUGUAUCAAUAUUAUUGGAGACAUCUGGACAGAUCACAUGUCAAUACUCGGAAUGCUCAGGUACUACCAAAGUUUGCAAAUUCUUAGAGAGCCUAUCAGGGUUGACAUCAUGAGUGCUGUGAUUAGGUUUCAUUAUCUUAUUAAUCAGCCUGUAUGUCACAAUGUUGCCAUACUUCUCAUAAGACCCUCACAUCUGCUUCUAACCAAAAAAUGCUAGAAUUUCCAGAGUCUUCUUAAUGGUCUGAUGUAUUGAAGUGAAAAGGGUUACAGAAACUUAGAAAUGGAUGUGUAUAUUAUAACAUCCCAUUUAUCAUAGGGCAAUGUGGUGAUCAGUCAACAUAAUUUCUUUCUGUUUGGGGUCCAAUUUAGCAGGAUAGGUUGACUAUCUCCCAAAAGGGAAAAAGAAAGAACAGAGGAGGAAUUAGAUGUGAGAAGAAAUUUACUUAGGUAGAAAUAGCAAAAGGGAUAAAUGCCAUUGGCUUAAUCCCUGAUCUCAUCUAUAUUCUAGUCUAGUCAACAAGGAUAUUGAGGUGGGUCUACUGCUAUUCCACCUACCUUUUUCUAGUGAUCUCAGUGCAAGGGAUGUAGCAACCUGUAGCCAGAUGAUAAGCAAUGCCCAGAUGUUUUUGCCCUGCAAUGUUUUGCAAAGUGCCACUCCUGUUUCAAAUUAAUUACAUAUGCCAUUGGAACUAAGUAGAGAUUCUCAAGUUCAAGUAUCUGCUCAGCCAUAAAGUUCACUGAAUGACUUUGGGCCAAGUUGCCAAAGUUACAAUGGAAAGAAAAAGAAUAUCUGCUAUUCUUUGAAAAAUAUGGUAAAAAUAUAAUAAUAAAAUAUUUCCCAUUAUUUAACAAAUACCAAAUAACACAAAUUCUUUUGUUCCAGCAUUUAACUCAGUUUUCUUCAGUUUGGGGACCUAUAGUUGUCUAAACAUGACUGAAUUACAGCUUCCAAAAGCUGUACUGGCAAUGCUAGGAAACAUGACUGAAUUACAGCUUCCAGCUAGUACUGGCAAUGCUGGGAAUUUUAGUUCAGGAAUAUAGGGUAGAUCUGCAUGGAGCUGCUACAUUUCUGUCUUUAAUGGAGAUGGCUGCCUAAAUAAAUGCAUCACAGUUCACAAGACAAUCUUGACGUUGCAUGAGUUUGAAUAGAUAGGUCCAGUGAAAUGUUUUUGGAUGCUACUACUUGUUGACAGAUGUUGAUAGCAAUAGCAAUAGCACUUAGACUUAUAAACCACUUAAUAGUGCUUUUACAGCCCUCUCUAAGUGGUUUACAGAGUCAGCAUAUUGCCCCCAACAAUCUGGGUCCUCAUUUUACCCACCUCGGAAGGAUGGAAGGCUGAGUCAACUUUGAGCUGGUGAGAUUUGAACUGCACUCUAACCACUGGUGAGAUUUGUACUGCACUCUAACCACUGCACCACCUUGGCUCCUAUAAGGGAUCCUAGCAAUUCCAAGUAUGCUAAGGGCCCAAAUUAAUGUUAGGGGCUCUUAGAAAGUCUUGUUUAAUGAGAGCCCAUGUCUUAGGGCCUAUUGAGCUCAAGGACAUUAAUAAAUGAAAACUAAAUGUCAGGACAGCCUCCUUAUAUAGCAGUGCUUGCAUUAAGAAAAAAAUACAGAUUUAAUUAUGAGAUAUUGGAAAAAUAUAUAAGAUAGGGUGCCAAGUUUCUGGAAUUAGCAUUGAGUACUAUUUCAUCCAUUUGUUUGAGAUGCUAUUUCUUUACUAGCAUGAAGUUCAUUAAACUCUAAAAAAUGCUAAUAUCAAAGCUGUUAAUUUUUAUGAAGACUAGGGAUUAGAUGUAAAUAUUCUUGGUGGAAUAUCUGAUGAGUGCCUUUUGUACAGCAAUAAUAAAUAUAAGUUGCUUUAAAUUUUUUGAACUGUACAGUCUGUCAAUUAGUUAAUUUUCCCUAAAGAGAUUGAGGACUUUGGCAUAAUUUAUAUACUGUUAGUUCCUCUAGAAUCUAACUAAUCUAGUUAGUUAGAUUCUUUUUCUUAAUUAAUACUACAUUUAUAUUUGUA